This 473-nucleotide ribosomal RNA is filed under the name uncultured bacterium. RNAcentral's name for it is "bacterial SSU rRNA". It matches the Rfam family "Bacterial small subunit ribosomal RNA", at positions 329 to 793 of the family's 1533-position model. The record is from RNAcentral.
CUCCAGACUCCUACGGGAGGCAGCAGUGGGGAAUAUUGCACUAUGGGCGCAAGCCUGAUGCAGCCAUGCCGCGUGUAUGAAGAAGGCCUUCGGGUUGUAAAGUACUUUCAGCGGGGAGGAAGGCGAUAAGGUUAAUAACCUUGUCGAUUGGCGUUACCCGCAGAAUAAGCACCGGCUAACUACGUGCCAGCAGCCGCGGUAAUACGUAGGGUGCGAGCGUUAAUCGGAAUUACUGGGCGUAAAGGGUGUGCAGGCGGCUGAGUAAGACAGAUGUGAAAUCCCCGGGCUUAACCUGGGAACCGCAUAUGUGGCUGCUUGGCUAGAGUGCGUCAGGGGGAGGUGGAAUUCCACGUGUAGCAGUGAAAUGCGUAGAGAUCUGGAGGAAUACCGGUGGCGAAGGCGGCCCCCUGGACAAAGACUGACGCUCAGGUGCGAAAGCGUGGGGAGCAAACAGGAUUAGAUACCCCCGUACG